UACAGAGGUCCCAAGCGUUGUUCGGAUUCACUGGGCGUAAAGCGUGCGCAGGCGGUUUUGUAAGUCUGUCGUGAAAUCCCCGGGCUCAACCUGGGAAUUGCGAUGGAGACUGCAAGGCUAGAAUCUGGCAGAGGGGGGUAGAAUUCCACGUGUAGCAGUGAAAUGCGUAGAGAUGUGGAGGAACACCGAUGGCGAAGGCAGCCCCCUGGGUCAAGAUUGACGCUCAUGCACGAAAGCGUGGGGAGCAAACAGG
This 253-nucleotide ribosomal RNA is filed under the name uncultured bacterium. RNAcentral's name for it is "partial 16S ribosomal RNA". It matches the Rfam family "Bacterial small subunit ribosomal RNA", at positions 524 to 776 of the family's 1533-position model. The record is from RNAcentral.